UACGUAGGGGGCGAGCGUUGUCCGGAGUUACUGGGCGUAAAGGGCACGCAGGCGGUGCGGCGCGUUUCGCGUGACAGCGGAGGGCUUAACUCUCCGAGGAUGCGAAAGACGGCAGCACUUGAGGGCCAGAGAGGGACACGGAAUUCCGGGUGGAGUGGUGAAAUGCGUAGAGAUCCGGAGGAACACCGAAGGCGAAGGCAGUGUCCUGGCUGGUUACUGACGCUGAGGUGCGAAAGCUAGGGGAGCGAACGGG
RNAcentral lists this ribosomal RNA (253 nucleotides) under uncultured bacterium. RNAcentral's name for it is "partial 16S ribosomal RNA". It matches the Rfam family "Bacterial small subunit ribosomal RNA", at positions 524 to 776 of the family's 1533-position model. The record is from RNAcentral.